CCUACGGGAGGCAGCAGUGAGGAAUAUUGGUCAAUGGGCGCGAGCCUGAACCAGCCAAGUCGCGUGAGGGAUGACGGUCCUACGGAUUGUAAACCUCUUUUGCCGGGGAGCAAGCGUGAGUUCGUGAACGCACGUCGAGAGUACCUGGAGACAAAGCAACGGCUAACUACGUGCCAGCAGCCGCGGUAAUACGGAGGAUGCGAGCGUUAGUCGGAUUUAAUGGGUUUAAAGGGUGCGUAGGCGGGAUGCCAAGUCAGCGGUAAAAAUGCGGUGCUCAACGCCGUCGAGCCGUUGAAGCUGGCGUUCGUGAGUGGGCGAGAAGUAUGCGGAAUGUGUGGUGUAGCGGUGAAAUGCAUAGAUAUCACGCAGAACUCCGAUUGCGAAGGCAGCAUACCGGCGCCCUACUGACGCUGAGGCACGAAAGCGUGGGUAUCGAACAGGAUUAGAUACCCCAGUAGUC
RNAcentral lists this ribosomal RNA (460 nucleotides) under uncultured bacterium. RNAcentral's name for it is "partial 16S ribosomal RNA". It matches the Rfam family "Bacterial small subunit ribosomal RNA", at positions 338 to 795 of the family's 1533-position model. The record is from RNAcentral.